UUAGGAAUUUUGGGCAAUGGGCGCAAGCCUGACCCAGCAACGCCGCGUGGGUGAUGAAGGCCCUCGGGUCGUAAAGCCCUUUUCCCAGGGAAGAUGGUGACGGUACCUGGGGAAUCAGCCCCGGCUAACUACGUGCCAGCAGCCGCGGUAAUACGUAGGGGGCAAGCGUUGUCCGGAUUUAUUGGGCGUAAAGCGCUCGCAGGCGGCUCGAUGCGUCGUGCGUGAAACACCCCGGCUCAACUGGGGAGGGUCGUGCGAUACGGUCGGGCUGGAGGCCAGUAGGGGGAUGCGGAAUUCCGGGUGUAGUGGUGGAAUGCGUAGAGAUCCGGAGGAACACCAGCGGCGAAGGCGGCAUCCUGGACUGGUACUGACGCUCAUGAGCGAAAGCGUGGGGAGCGAUCC
This 402-nucleotide ribosomal RNA is filed under the name uncultured bacterium. RNAcentral's name for it is "partial 16S ribosomal RNA". It matches the Rfam family "Bacterial small subunit ribosomal RNA", at positions 355 to 774 of the family's 1533-position model. The record is from RNAcentral.